AGUCAGGGUCUCUCGUCGAGUCUGGGUCUAGGUUAGAUUUGGAAUCGUGGAGAUGCGGAAGGACACCCCUCCUCCGCUCGUUCCCCCGGCGGCCCGCGAGUAGAACCUACCCCCCAAUGCGCCGGCAUGCAUGGAACGUCAGUUGGAGGCUGCACGGUACCAGUCUGAUGGUUCCCUUCUGCUCGUGGGGGGGGGGGGUGUCUCCAGCCUGAGUGGUAGCUGCUGGGUAGGUUCUCUGUGGUUUUCCAAGGAUCCUAGUGCGGCCCCCAAUGAAGGUUUCUGCUCUGCUGGCGUCCAGACCGAGGCUGGAAUAGCUGACCUCACUUGGGUGGAGGACAAAGGUAUCCUGGUGGCUUCUGAUUCCGGUGCUGUUGAAUUGUGGGAGCUAGAUGAGAACAAGACACUUAUAGUCAGCAAGUUCUGCAAGGAUGAGCAUGAUGACAUUGUGUCUACUGUCACUGUCCUGAGCUCUGGCACACAAGCUGUCAGUGGUAGCAAAGACUGCUGCAUCAACAUUUGGGACCUGGCUCAACAGGUGUCACAGAAUUCAUACCGAGCUCAUGCAGGACAGGUUACCUGUGUUGCUGCCUCUCCCCACAAAGACUGUGUUUCUUUCAUGUCGUGAGGACAGUAGAAUUUUGCUCUGGGAUACCCACUGUCCCAAGCCGGCAUCACAGAUGGGCUGCAAUGCAUCUGGCUACCUCCCUACUGCCUUGGCUUGGCAUCCUCAUGAGAGUGAAUGAAGUCUUUGCUUUUGGUGACGAGAAUGGAUCUGUCUCCCUUGUGGACACCAAGAAUGCAAGCUGUACCCUCAGCUCAGCUGUGCACUCCCAGUGUGUCACUAGAAUGGUAUUCUCUCCUGACUUCUCUCAGUGAAGACUGUUCACUUGCUGUGCUGGAUUCAAGCUUUUCUGAGGUGUUUAAAGUCGAGCCCACAGAGACUUUGUGAGAGAUGCUACGUGGUCUCCACUCAAUCACUCCCUUCUUACCACAGUUGGCUGGGACCAUCAGGUCAUCCACCAUGUUGUGCCGUUAGAGCCUCUCCCAAACCCUGGACCUGACAGUGUUGUGGAGUAGAAUGGAUUUCAGAAAAAACAAAACAAGCCCUCCUCAGCCUGAGGGAAGCUGCAUCCCACAGUGACUCGGAGGAAGAAACUUCCUCUGGAAAUGGGUGUAUGUGAGUACACGUGUGUGAGUGCGGUGUAUAGUUUGGAGUGGAGAAAAUUAUUCUUCAGCUUUCCCAAAGCAAUGCUCUUUACCCCUGACAAAGUGACCAGAGGAUUUUAUGCUUCCCAUGUCUGGAAAUUGGCUGUGUUAGGGAUAU
Molecule: non-coding RNA, 1324 nt
Organism: Mus caroli (Ryukyu mouse)
Lineage: Eukaryota; Metazoa; Chordata; Mammalia; Rodentia; Muridae
Source: RefSeq, a predicted model, not a curated record